GUGACUUGAGAAAGCACUGAUCAACUAUUGUAGGGCUGAAAUGUUCUAAUUGUAUGCCCUGUGUACUCUUGAGUUCAAUAUGCAUGUCAUUUAUUUUGUGCUAGACUAGACUGUUAUCAGGGUGCCCAGGUCCUGGAAACUAAAAUGAGGUGUUUGAGAGUUAUGGAUAGCGCUUCUGGUGAUUUGGUUCAUAUCACUGUCUGCAUAUGUUUGGUUAUGCUUGUAUCAUAUAUUUAGUCAAUAUCUUGGGCCUAUUUCUCUGUUUGUCUGCUUGCUUAUGCUCUAGAAAUUACUUUUUUUUU
This 302-nucleotide long non-coding RNA is filed under the name Setaria italica (foxtail millet). RNAcentral describes it as "long non-coding RNA (SITA_LNC006469)". The record is from RNAcentral. Lineage: Eukaryota; Viridiplantae; Streptophyta; Magnoliopsida; Poales; Poaceae.